RNAcentral lists this ribosomal RNA (254 nucleotides) under uncultured bacterium. Its description in RNAcentral is "partial 16S ribosomal RNA". It matches the Rfam family "Bacterial small subunit ribosomal RNA", at positions 524 to 776 of the family's 1533-position model. The record is from RNAcentral.
UACGUAGGCAGCGAGCGUUGUUCGGAGUUACUGGGCGUAAAGGGUGUGUAGGCGGUUGUUUAAGUUUGGUGUGAAAUCUCCCGGCUCAACUGGGAGGGUGCGCCGAAUACUGAAUGACUUGGAGUGCGGGAGAGGAGAGUGGAAUUCCUGGUGUAGCGGUGAAAUGCGCAGAUAUCAGGAAGAACACCCGUGGCGAAAGCGGCUCUCUGGAACGGUACUGACGCUGAGACGCGAAAGCGUGGGGAGCGAACAGG